Molecule: long non-coding RNA, 369 nt
Organism: Falco peregrinus (peregrine falcon)
Lineage: Eukaryota; Metazoa; Chordata; Aves; Falconiformes; Falconidae
Exons: 3
Source: RefSeq, a predicted model, not a curated record
UCCAUGGGGAAGCUCUGCCGGACAGACGCAUACUGAAGGUGGUGUGGGGAGCGGGGCAGGCCCCUUGCUGCCCCAGUUUGGAUGCUGCUGAAAGGGUGAGUGGUCCUGGGAUGCUACAGUGAAGGUGUCAGCUGGACUUUCCUUUGCAGAAGGAACAUCACAAACUCCAGCAAUCAGCAGGUUGUGCAUCUCAGAAGGAAAUGUUCACCACCACCAAAUGCAUGAGCAGAAAUGUAUGGCUUUGAGUUCAGGCUGCUGGGGUCGGACCCUUCACACAGUGACUGAAGGACAGCACUGAGACCUGGACCUGGAGUCCGAGCUCUCUUCUUCUGGCCGGGACACAGACCUUAGAGAUCAAAGGCUUUGCCA